This is a long non-coding RNA of Oncorhynchus tshawytscha (Chinook salmon), 1038 nucleotides long. The record is from Ensembl. Lineage: Eukaryota; Metazoa; Chordata; Actinopteri; Salmoniformes; Salmonidae.
GUGGGUGAAUGGGGUGGAGGGUAGCGGGUGGAGGAGUUUUGGACGGGUGCACAAGGGAGUUGGGAAAUAGGGAGGGUGGGAUUGUGGGUGGUUGAAUAGGAGAGCUGGAGGGAAAGGGGAGGAGCAGGAGAGUCGGAGGGAAAGGGGAGGAGCAGGAGAGUCGGAGGGAAAGGGGAGGAGCAGGAGAGUCGGAGGGAAAGGGGAGGUGCAGGAGAGUCGGAGGGAAAGGGGAGGAGCAGGAGAGCUGGAGGGAAAGCUCAUUGGAGACUCACUCAAGGGAAUAGAAAAUAGGAAUCCGACUCCACUGAUUUUAUACUUGCAGCCGUCUGUCAGUAUGGGGUUUUGUAGUGAAGAAUGUGACCUGAUUAAUUUCAUUAUUUUGACAAUGUCACUAUUGUUUAACUGGCUCAUAAAAAACAUAACCCCUCAAUUUUCUAAAUCCGAAACACACUUCGGCCGGGCCGUCCUUCCAGACCGUCUGUUGUUCCACAAACAGCAUGGGUUUUAAAAAACCCUUUCCAGAAAAUCAUUUAGAGACAAUCAGCAUGACAGAAACUGAUCACGGGCCAGAGAGAAGAGGUUAGUAAUGGAGCCAAUAUGCUAUGCUAGUAGCCUUGUCAUUUUUGAUCUUUUGUAGGCUGGUAUUCAAUAGGCAAAAACCGAGCGAAAAAUGGUCUUCAGCGCUAAAACUGAAAAUAUAUAUCUAAUGUAACCACAUUUACAUGAAUUUGAUGAUUUAAUCAUCGAGUCCAUUCAAAACACCAGGGGCAUUAACAGGGAAGUAUGACGUAGGAACGAGUCACUUGCAUUGCUAAUAAUGGGAGGUAAAACAGAGGUGGAAGUGGGGGAGCAGGCAGGAGGUGUAGAGGUGAGCAGUGAAAACGGGAAGGCAGUGAACUGCUCACAAGAUAAGAGACAAAAAUGUUUUCUUCUUAAACUCAGAGUCUUGGUUGGCCCUGAGGAUAUCUGGGGAAUUACAACAAACAUCUCCACAUAGUUUAGAUCCCCAUCUCAGGAGGAGCGGAGAGAAAGAACAAG